GACGAACGCUGGCGGCGUGCCUAAUACAUGCAAGUCGAACGCUUUUUCUUUCACCGGAGCUUGCUCCAUCGAAAGAAAAAGAGUGGCGAACGGGUGAGUAACACGUGGGUAACCUGCCCAUCAGAAGGGGAUAACACUUGGAAACAGGUGCUAAUACCGUAUAACACUAUUUUCCGCACGGAAGAAAGUUGAAAGGCGCUUUUGCGUCACUGAUGGAUGGACCCGGAGUGCAUUAGCUAGUUGGUGAGGUAACGGCUCACCAAGGCAACGAUGCAUAGCCGACCUGAGAGGGUGAUCGGCCGCACUGGGACUGAGACACGGCCCAGACUCCUACGGGAGGCAGCAGUAGGGAAUCUUCGGCAAUGGACGAAAGUCUGACCGAGCAACGCCGCGUGAGUGAAGAAGGUUUUCGGAUCGUAAAACUCUGUUGUUAGAGAAGAACAAGGAUGAGAGUAAAAUGUUCAUCCCUUGACGGUAUCUAACCAGAAAGCCACGGCUAACUACGUGCCAGCAGCCGCGGUAA
RNAcentral lists this ribosomal RNA (523 nucleotides) under uncultured bacterium. RNAcentral's name for it is "partial 16S ribosomal RNA". It matches the Rfam family "Bacterial small subunit ribosomal RNA", at positions 28 to 523 of the family's 1533-position model. The record is from RNAcentral.